Molecule: ribosomal RNA, 403 nt
Filed under: uncultured bacterium
Lineage: Bacteria
Description: partial 16S ribosomal RNA
Rfam family: Bacterial small subunit ribosomal RNA
Source: RNAcentral
AUUGAACGCUGGCGGCAGGCCUAACACAUGCAAGUCGAGCGAGCGGCGGACGGGUGAGUAAUGUAUGGGGACUGCCCGAUAGAGGGGGAUAACUAAUGGAAACGGUAGCUAAUACCGCAUACUAUCGAAUAACCCAUAUGGGAUAAGCUAGUAGGUGAGGUAAUGGCUAACAUAGGCGACGAUCACUAGCUGGUCUGAGAGGAUGAUCAGCCACACUGGGACUGAGACCCGGCCCAGAUGCCUACGGAGGCAGCAGUGGGGAAUAUUGCACAAUGGGCUCAAGCCUGAUGCAGCCAGGCCGCGUGUAUGAAGAAGGCCCUAGGGUUGUAAAGUACUUUCAGUCGGGAGGCGUUACCGACAGAAGAAGCACCGGCUAACUCCGUGCCAGCAGCCGCGGUAAUUC